RNAcentral lists this non-coding RNA (29 nucleotides) under Mus musculus (house mouse). The record is from RNAcentral. Lineage: Eukaryota; Metazoa; Chordata; Mammalia; Rodentia; Muridae.
UCCCAAAAUUUCACCAAUGUGUCAGAGCA